Molecule: non-coding RNA, 27 nt
Filed under: Mus musculus (house mouse)
Lineage: Eukaryota; Metazoa; Chordata; Mammalia; Rodentia; Muridae
Source: RNAcentral
UGGUUAUCAUUUGACUGCUUGUUGGAU